AAAAAGUCCAUUGGUGAUAUGGGGGUUGUCUGUGUCAUGCAUGCCGGGAGUCGAUAGAACAUUCAUAAUUCACUAUAUCUGACCUGAAGUGCUGGGAGGUGUGCCUCAACAUGCUUUCUUUAUUUAAUCAUUAUAAUUAACAAUCCAAUUCUAACCUAACAUUUAACUCACAAGUCAACGCUGACAAACUAUACCCUGUACGUAAAAGAUUUAGAUUUUUGAAUGACCAACACAAGACAUGAAAAAUAACUAAAUACAGCAACAACAUUCAGUUCUCAGAAAUCAGUGUCAUUUAUUCAGCAUCAAUUUGAAUUCAGAUUCCUGUGCUUUAUGACAUGUUGUUCAUUAACACUUUAUAACAGAGUUCAAUACAGUUAGCUAACAUGAACUACACUAACAAUGCAUUUACAGCAUUUAUUAAUCUAGUCUACAUGUACUGAUACUAUAUAAGCAUUUAAGAUACAUGAAUUCAUACUAAACAGUUAUAAUAACGUUUUUGUGAUUUCACAUUACACUAGAUAAAUAAAUACUGUAAAAAUUGUUGUGAUAAUGCAUUAACUAAUGUUUCCUUAUUGAAUGUUUUUGUAAAGUGUUAUCAAAAAUCAGAUAAUGUUACACAUAUAUUUUUAGAGAGAUUUUUCUUUAAAGAGAAAGUGAACAAUUGCAGACAACGCCUCAGGCCCUGAGCACCCUACACCCAAACCAUCAAGCUGACUGAAUUUAAAAUAUAUAAACAGUCCUUAAAACCAUUGGGUGAAACAAACAAAAACUAUUUACAAUACAAUGAGCAAUAUGGAAGAAACAGAUUAACACUUUAUUGUAAGGUAAAUUUAACAAUAACAAUAAAAAUUAAUUAAAGCCACUCUUCAUAAAACUUUCCAACAGUGGAAAAAACCCCAGGUGAAGAAAGGCCCUUUAAAGCGAUAGUUCACCUAAAAAUGAAAAUUUGAUGUUUAUCUGCUUACCCCCAGGACAUCCAAGUUGUAGGUAACUUUGUUUCUUCAGUAGAACACAAACUGAGAUUUUUAACUCAAACAGUUGCAGUCUGUUAGUCAUAUAUUGCAAGUGGAUGGAAAACUCGGCUAAAACAUAAAAAAAAAAAAAAAAAAAACAUAAACAAACCCAAAUUAAACCCUGCGGCUCAUGACGAUACAUUGAUGUGUAAAGACACAAAACGAUUGGUCUGUGCAAGAAACUGAACAGUAUUUAUAGUUUUUUUUAUUUAUUUAUUUUUUUUUUACCUCUGAUGCACUAAAAUGCCUGAACUGUCUGAAAUGUAUCUACAGUAUCUCUCAAAUGGACCAUUGCCACUCCCAAUUGAGAUUGUAUAUAGAGUGUCAAUGGUCCAUUUGAGAGAUAGGUGGCGGUAAUGCACUUAUAAGUCUGUGAUCCACCGUAAAGCAAGCAAGCAAGAAGAAGAUGCCUCAUGCGCAGGCUGUGUCGAGGACACGCAGUACAGUUCAGGCAAUGAAGUGCAUCAGAAAAACAAAGUCACCUACAUCUUGGAUGCCCUGGGGGCCAAUAGGAGAAGUCCAGCAAACAGGACACCGAUGGCUGCUGGACCCAGUCUUGAGGAAAAAGGAAGACGGCCACGGCACGUGUUGAUUCCCGUACACUCACACACAACCACCUGAAGAACGUCUUCUCUUUGCAGCCCCUGCUGAUCCUGUAUCUUCAAAGGAAUGGAGUAGUUGCCAUAUGGCAGACUCGUCAAACUUAUCAGAGAGGUGUUUGUUCCUGCGGUACAAAGCCAGCAAAACAGGGUUAACUAAAACCGAAACAAAA
Molecule: long non-coding RNA, 1785 nt
Organism: Cyprinus carpio carpio
Lineage: Eukaryota; Metazoa; Chordata; Actinopteri; Cypriniformes; Cyprinidae
Source: Ensembl